CCUGAGAAAUGGCUACCACAUCCAAGGAUGGCAGCAGGCGCGCAAAUUACCCACUCUCAGUACGAGGAGGUAGUGACGAAAAAUAACAAUGCGGGACUCAUCAGAGGCCUCGCAAUUGGAAUGAGCGCACUUUAAAUCGUUCGACGAGGAUCUAUUGGAGGGCAAGUCUGGUGCCAGCAGCCGCGGUAAUUCCAGCUCCAAUAGCGUAUAUUAAAGUUGUUGCAGUUAAAAAGCUCGUAGUUGGAUCUGGGGUUCGGGUCGGCGGUUUGCCGCUUCGGCGGCUACUGCCGUGCUCGACUCUUACUAGCCGGUGCGUCUUGCGGUGCUCUUCAUCGAGUGCCGUAGGAGCCUGGCAUGUUUACUUUGAAAAAAUUAGAGUGCUCAAAGCAGGCGAUUCCGCCUGAAUAGUGUUGCAUGGAAUAAUGGAAUAGGACCUCGGUUCUAUUUUGUUGGUUUUCGGAACUUGAGGUAAUGAUUAAGAGGGACGGUCGGGGGCAUUCGUAUUUCGGUGUUAGAGGUGAAAUUCUUGGAUCGCUGAAAGACGGACAAAUGCGAAAGCAUCUGCCAAGAACGUCUCCAUUAAUCAAGAACGAAAGUCAGAGGUUCGAAGACGAUCAGACACCGUCCUAGUUCUGACCAUAAACGAUGCCAACUAGCGAUCCGCAGUGGUUGCUAUAAACGGACUCUGCGAGCAGCUUCCGGGAAACCAAAGUGUUUGGGUUCCGGGGGAAGUAUGGUUGCAAAGCUGAAACUUAAAGGAAUUGACGGAAGGGCACCACCAGGAGUGGAGCCUGCGGCUUAAUUUGACCCAACACGGGGAAACUCACCCGGUCCGGACACUGUAAGGAUUGACAGAUCGAGAGCUCUUUCUUGAUUCGGUGGAUGGUGGUGCAUGGCCGUUCUUAGUUGGUGGAGUGAUUUGUCUGGUUAAUUCCGAUAACGAACGAGACUCUAGCCUGCUAACUAGUUGCGCCGUGUUCAUACGCGGCUGUAGACUUCUUAGAGGGACAGGUGGCGUUUAGCCACACGAAAUUGAGCAAUAACAGGUCUGUGAUGCCCUUAGAUGUCCGGGGCCGCACGCGCGCUACACUGAAGGAGUCAGCGUGUGCUAUCCGGGCUCGGAAGAGUUCGGUAACCCGUUGAAACUCCUUCGUGCUUGGGAUUGUGGCUUGUAAUUAUCGCGCAUGAACGAGGAAUUCCCAGUAAGUGCAAGUCAUCAGCCUGCGCUGACUACGUCCCUGCCCUUUGUACACACCGCCCGUCGCUACUACCGAUUGAAUGGUUUAGCAAGGUACUCGGAUUGGUCUCGAUCUUGUACGAAAGUGCGGGAUCUGGCCGAGAAGAAGGCCAAACUUGAUCAUUUAGAGGAAGUAAAAGUCGUAACAAGGUU
Molecule: ribosomal RNA, 1390 nt
Filed under: metagenome
Description: SSU rRNA
Rfam family: Eukaryotic small subunit ribosomal RNA
Source: RNAcentral